Molecule: transfer RNA, 67 nt
Filed under: Loxodonta africana (African savanna elephant)
Lineage: Eukaryota; Metazoa; Chordata; Mammalia; Proboscidea; Elephantidae
Rfam family: tRNA
About the family: Transfer RNA (tRNA) molecules are approximately 80 nucleotides in length. Their secondary structure includes four short double-helical elements and three loops (D, anti-codon, and T loops).
Source: Rfam by way of RNAcentral
GGUGGUCUAGUGGUUAAGACCUUGGCUGUUAACCAAAAGGUCGGUGGUUCGAAUCCACCAGUCACCC